UGGCCACGGUGAGCUUGCUUGUUUAUUUAUUAGUUAUAGUUGUUAUCUUUUGCCUUUGUUUUCUGUUUAUAUGCUCCCUUUGUACUGUGUAUGUGUGAUAAAUGAACUUUUUUGUGAAGUACAAACUGGUAACUGAUAAAUGAUAAAAGUUCUCAGUAAAGAUCAAUGUUCCGGGUACUUGGCCGAGCCUUAUUUUGUUUGAUCUGAAUAUGUUUUAGUGAUGUUAGAGAGGGUAUGAAUGACUCUUACUUAAUUGUCAUCACUGGGGUUCCGUUAUCUCCUCUUGACUUAUUUGCUGAUGGAUUUUAAAAUUUCAGCGCAAUGAAGUUCUAUCAUCAAAUUCAUACAACUGGACUCAUGCUUCAAGUUGGUGAAACUAAGAUUGGUUAAUUGAUUCCUUGUAUUUGCUUAUUAAAUUUUUUUUCUAGUCUCACAGAUAAUUGCUUAAUUUUGCGAAGUAUUCUCUUAUUAAGGGUCAAUACCUAGCUGAAGUGAAUGUUGUCAGCACAUCCAGAACAAUGUUAUACUUGAUCAUGUCAAGUUGAUGUCGAACUUCCAAGGUCCUUGAGCUCUAGUGACCCCGGCUCAAUAAUUCCUUGAGCUCCAGCAAUUUUUCUCAAGGCAUCUAAUAUGGAUGGGUCUUAUUUAUAUGAGGAGUUGACUACCUAUCUAGCUAGUGCUACUCGUUCUAAUCUGCAUAUGGCAAAUGAGUUUGCUUAAUUUGUCUUCCUGUUUGCAUACAAUUCUUAUGGAAGUGGAACAGAGCUUCACAAGGAAUUUGCUGGAAGUAUUGAAAAUAUCCUUGGAGCCUCACAAGGUUUUCUUGGAGAACAUAGAAAUGAAUAAGAAUGUGUUGCAGUUUGUUCACAUUCUAGCAUUUUUUUUUUUUGUUUUUUGCUAGAAUCGUUUAUGCUUGUAUUUCAAUAUUUUCUGAUUACGAC
This is a long non-coding RNA of Papaver somniferum (opium poppy), 941 nucleotides long. RefSeq lists it as uncharacterized. Lineage: Eukaryota; Viridiplantae; Streptophyta; Magnoliopsida; Ranunculales; Papaveraceae. The transcript is spliced from 3 exons. The record is from RefSeq and is a predicted model, not a curated record.